UCGAGAAUCUUCGGCAAUGGACGCAAGUCUGACCGAGCGACGCCGCGUGUGGGAUGAAGGCCUUCGGGUUGUAAACCACUGUCAGAGGGGAUGAAAUGCAGGUGGGUACUCCCAUUUGUUUGACAUAGCCUCAGAGGAAGUACGGGCUAAGUUCGUGCCAGCAGCCGCGGUAAGACGAACCGUACGAACGUUAUUCGGAAUUACUGGGCUUAAAGGGUGCGUAGGCGGCGCGGAAAGUAGGGUGUGAAAUCCCUCGGCUCAACCGAGGAACUGCGCUCUAAACUACCGUGCUCGAGGGAGAUAGAGGUGAGCGGAACUGAGGGUGGAGCGGUGAAAUGCGUUGAUAUCCUCAGGAACACCGGUGGCGAAAGCGGCUCACUGGAUCUCUUCUGACGCUGAGGCACGAAAGCUAGGGUAGCGAACGG
This 425-nucleotide ribosomal RNA is filed under the name uncultured bacterium. Its description in RNAcentral is "bacterial SSU rRNA". It matches the Rfam family "Bacterial small subunit ribosomal RNA", at positions 355 to 775 of the family's 1533-position model. The record is from RNAcentral.